Molecule: RNA transcript, 2155 nt
Organism: Rhinopithecus roxellana (golden snub-nosed monkey)
Lineage: Eukaryota; Metazoa; Chordata; Mammalia; Primates; Cercopithecidae
Gene name: myotubularin-related protein 9-like
Exons: 5
Source: RefSeq, a predicted model, not a curated record
CGCGAAGUGGGGCGGUCGUGGGGGCCCAGUGAGGUGGAAGCGCCGGGCCUGGAAGAGACGCGGGGACAGGGCACUCCCUGGGUGCCCUAGACCUGGCCUCUCUCCUCCCUGAGCCGCAGACCAACGCGUGGCGGCUGAGCGAGGUGAACGGGGACUUCAGCUUGUGCCCCAGAUACCCCCGUGCCGUGAUCGUGCCACACGUGGUGGACGAUGAUGCCCUGGCGCGCAGCGCCCGCUUCGGUCAGGGAGGUCGCUUCCCGGUGCUCAGCUACCCCCUGCUCCCAGUGGCACCGUGAGCGCGCCCUUCCCACGCUCCGCCCCUAGGUGGCCGUGUCGUUUCUGGGCCUUUUCUUUUUGGCCCGGCCAAUUCGCGGCCUGGCAGCUGCCCCAACUCCUGCUCCAUUGUGGUCCCGCCCCUCUCCCGCCUUUUCGCAUGGGAGGGUAUCACCUUUCUCUGGCCCCGCCCCUGACGGUUAUGGGCCUCGCGAAGCUUAGUCCCUUCUUUGUCAAGCCAGGACCCGCCCACGGUCUAUUCAUAGGGUCCCUAACCACUUUGGCCACAACACCCGCAGACUGGUCCGAAGCCUCCUGAGUUCGCCCUGGUCUCUCUACUCCAGCCUGUCGGUGUGCAGACCUGGCCUAGGGGCCCUCUAAGGCUGGGGGCGUCACUUCCAGAGCUGAGUCCGGUCCGCAGGUUCUGCUACGCUCCAGCCAGCCCCUGACCGUUCCCCAGAAGCGGCGCUGCGAGAAGGACCAGGAGCUGCUGCGAACUGUGCUGGCAGGGGCUCGUCCUUGGGCGCGGGGCUUCAUCAUGGACACACUCUCGGCCCAGGCAGCGAAACAGGCCCACAUCACUGGCGGAGGCACGGAGGCCAAGGCCGCUUACCCUGGGUGGUAACGGUUACACGGGUCCCUGGAGAGGAGAGCUUCGUGCGCCUGGUGGAGGCCUGUGGGGACUCGGAGCAGAGCAUGGACAACUGGCUGAGUCUGCUGGAUGGCUACUGCUGGCUGUAACAUGUAAAGGAGGCACUGAGCACUGCCUGCCUGGCAGCCCAGGGCAUGGAGAGGCACAGACAGCACCCUGCUUGUGACUUCACUGGCCCAACUCAUCCUGGACCCCUUGAGCAAAACCAUGACUGAAUUCCAGGAACUGGUGGAGUGGGAGUGGAUCCAGGAAAGUAAGCGACCACCCAACCCCAGCCUUACCCUCCAUCCAGAAACCUUGCUUCCUCGUGCCCAUUGCUCUGCCCACUCCCCAGGCCGGCCACCCCUUCCAACUGUGCUGUGCCCACUCAGCCUUCUCCCAUGCCCACCCCAAGCAUGAGGCACCCACCUUUCUCUCCUUCCUGGACUGUGUGGCAGCUGGGCCGCCAGUUCCCACUGUCAUUGGAGUUUGGGGAAGGGCUACUGUUGGCGCUAUUUGGGCACGCCUAUGCCUCCCCUUUUGGCACCUUCCUCUGCAACAGCGAAAAGAAGAGGUGAUCCACACACCAGGCGUGAGCCACCGUGCCCGGCCAGCCGUUUACUUCCUUAGGAGCCAUCUUUCCCAAAUUCAAUGCCCAGUACAAGAUCUGACUGGCAAUGUUUGCAAGAAAAAGGAGAAAAGGAGAGGUUAUCACUGCUCCAAAGUGGCUGUCACCCUACUAACCAGGGCUGCCCACCCAGACUCCCAGAGGGCACACCUGGGACUGGAAACUUACUCCCUGCCUUUCUGCAGAUGCCCGUGUGAAGUAAGGACUCAGACACACUCCCUGUGGUCUUGGUUCAGCCAGCCAAAAGAGCAACAAAGAUUCCGGAACCCACUCUACAUCCUCAAUCCCUUGGCCAUCUGUGGAGCCCCAGAGCCUGCGGCUGGGCAAGGUGAGCCCCACACCUUCUCCACGGGGGAUUAUCCCUCCGCUCAGCGUCCUGACCUGUCUUCCUCCUCCUUGGGCCUGUUUCUUCGCUGGACCCACUCACCUGAGCCUGCAGAAGCCGCAUGGGGGAAGAGUGUGGCAAAUAGUGACAGGAAGGGAGAAGACAGAAGCCUCCCAGCCAACUACUUUAGCCCCCACCCUAAGCACUGGCUCCUUGGACAGCAACCGAGAUGUUCCUGAAACCUCUGCAGGCCCCUUAGGACCUUUACACCUUGGAAGAGGAUGCCUGCAACCCAGGC